UGAGAGGCAGACCCGAGAGCCCGAGACCCGAGCCGGGAGCCGGGAUGCUAGGGUCCAGGGUAUUCACGCCGGGGGUCUGAAGAUAUUCGUGUACCGCUUCCGUCUAUCAGCCAAACUUCAGCUGACCUUUGGACUCGUUAAACGAGUAGCUUGCAGCCUGAUGUGCAAGGCGCCGGGACUUUUCCACCCGCUGUGGGUCCGGCUUUAAGUCCGGAGAGAAGGAGAAACUGCGCUCGGGGGCUCAGCUCCAGGACACAGCGGUUCCCAGGGCCAGAGACUGAUCUCUGUGGACGCGAGGUCAAGGCGGCGGUGGCUGGCGACUCCCACGCCAAGUUGGGAAGGGGCCGACCAAGCCAGCGAGGGACAGAAGUGAUUGUUCACGCCGGCCCGGCCCAGGAAGGAAGGCGGGAACCUCUCAGCGCUAUCGGAGUUCACGGAGGCGCUCAGAGGCGAGGAAGAAGGCAGGAGAAUGACCACGUUGUCCAUUUCCAGACUUUUGGGCAGAUGAUACAUGAGCUCAGGCUGGAAUUCUGAGUAGUACUAGAAAUGGGACACCAUGGAAAGUAAACUCCAAGAAGAUGGAGACCGUCUCAUGACUUACUCUUCAAUGUCCGGAGAGGUGUCUGAUCCAUAAAACAUGCUCAAUAAAACCUUGUUGAAUAAAUGAGCA
Molecule: long non-coding RNA, 670 nt
Filed under: Bos mutus (wild yak)
Lineage: Eukaryota; Metazoa; Chordata; Mammalia; Artiodactyla; Bovidae
Description: lncRNA (ENSBMUG00000005850.1)
Source: RNAcentral